RNAcentral lists this ribosomal RNA (396 nucleotides) under uncultured bacterium. Its description in RNAcentral is "partial 16S ribosomal RNA". It matches the Rfam family "Bacterial small subunit ribosomal RNA", at positions 523 to 917 of the family's 1533-position model. The record is from RNAcentral.
AUACGUAGGGGGCGAGCGUUGUCCGGAAUGAUUGGGCGUAAAGGGCGCGUAGGCGGCCCGGUAAGUCUGGAGUGAAAGUCCUGUUUUUAAGAUGGGAAUUGCUUUGGAUACUGUCGGGCUUGAGUGCAGGUGAGGUAAGUGGAAUUCCCCGUGUAGCGGUGAAAUGCGUAGAGAUUGGGAGGAACACCAGUGGCGAAGGCGACUUACUGGACUGUAACUGACGCUGAGGCGCGAAAGUGUGGGGAGCAAACAGGAUUAGAUACCCUGGUAGUCCACACUGUAAACGAAGAAUGCUAGGUGUAGGGGGUAUCGACCCCUUCUGUGCCGCAGUCAACACAAUAAGCAUUCCGCCUGGGGAGUACGGCCGCAAGGUUGAAACUCAAAGGAAUUGGCGGG